This 498-nucleotide ribosomal RNA is filed under the name uncultured bacterium. RNAcentral's name for it is "partial 16S ribosomal RNA". It matches the Rfam family "Bacterial small subunit ribosomal RNA", at positions 30 to 523 of the family's 1533-position model. The record is from RNAcentral.
AUUGAACGCUGGCGGCAUGCCUUACACAUGCAAGUCGAACGGUAACAGGUCUUCGGAUGCUGACGAGUGGCGAACGGGUGAGUAAUACAUCGGAACGUGCCUAGUAGUGGGGGAUAACUACUCGAAAGAGUGGCUAAUACCGCAUGAGAUCUACGGAUGAAAGCAGGGGAUCGCAAGACCUUGUGCUACUAGAGCGGCCGAUGGCAGAUUAGGUAGUUGGUGGGAUAAAAGCUUACCAAGCCGACGAUCUGUAGCUGGUCUGAGAGGACGAUCGGCCACACUGGGACUGAGACGCGGCCCAGACUCCUACGGGAGGCAGCAGUGGGGAAUUUUGGACAAUGGGCGCAAGCCUGAUCCAGCAAUGCCGCAUGCAGGAUGAAGGCCUUCGGGUUGUAAACUGCUUUUGUACGGAACGAAAAGCCCUGGGUUAAUACCCUGGGGUCAUGACGGUACCGUAAGAAUAAGCACCGGCUAACUACGUGCCAGCCGCCGCCGUAA